RNAcentral lists this small nuclear RNA (107 nucleotides) under Spermophilus dauricus (Daurian ground squirrel). Lineage: Eukaryota; Metazoa; Chordata; Mammalia; Rodentia; Sciuridae. The record is from RNAcentral.
GUGCUCGCUUCGGCAGCACAUAUACUAAAAUUGGAACGAGACAGAGAACAUUAGCAUGGCCCCUGCUCAAGGAUGACAAGCAAAUUCGUGAAGCAUUCCAUAUUUUU